RNAcentral lists this small RNA (156 nucleotides) under Arabidopsis thaliana (thale cress). RNAcentral describes it as "ATSL184940". The record is from RNAcentral. Lineage: Eukaryota; Viridiplantae; Streptophyta; Magnoliopsida; Brassicales; Brassicaceae.
UGUCCAUUUUUAGUCUUUUGUUGAUACAUGUAUUUACUGAAACGGGAGACUCCAGUACAUUAAUCCUUGUGAAUUCUUACUGUAAUUUUCGAUCAAAACUAAAUAAAAUAAACAAAUUAAGCACUGUGUUAUGCAGAAGAACAAGGGUUUAACCCG